Molecule: ribosomal RNA, 253 nt
Filed under: uncultured prokaryote
Description: partial 16S ribosomal RNA
Rfam family: Bacterial small subunit ribosomal RNA
Source: RNAcentral
UACGGGGGGGGCAAGCGUUGUUCGGAAUUACUGGGCGUAAAGGGCUCGUAGGUGGCCAACUAAGUCAGACGUGAAAUUCCCAGGCUCAACUUGGGAACUGCGUCUGAUACUGGAUGGCUUGAAUUCGGGAGAGGGAUGCAGAAUUCCAGGUGUAGCGGUGAAAUGCGUAGAUAUCAAGAGGAACACCUGAGGUGAAGACGGGUUGCUGGGCCGACACUGACGCUGAGGCGCGAAAGCCAGGGGAGCAAACGGG